AUAGUGGUUUAAUAUAUUAGUUAAUGUAAUAUAGUUAUUAUUUUCAAAUUAAAUGGUAGUGAAAUGCUAAUUGAUUUUUAUGGUAACUAGUUUAUUGGUAUUCAUUUGAGUGCAAAUUAAAAUAAAUUAUUUAGAGUAAUUUAUUUUGAGAUUUAGGGAUUUAUGUUUAUAGUUUAAUAGGUUUGAGUUGGAUUAAUAAUUUUUCUUUUAGAUAAAUUAGUAUAUUAUUUGUGUGGAAAAUGAUCUUUAUUAAAUAAAUUGUUUUGAUUUAAAGAAAAUGAUGUAUAAUGUUAGAAAGAGUAUUUAAUUUUGAAUAAGAUGAAAAUUUUGAAUAUAUUGUGAUAAGUAAGCUUGCUUCUCAACCACAUGGUUAGUCUGGGUUUAGUUCUACUGUGUGGAACCUUUUAGUACAAGUGUUUUCUACUACACUUCGCCUCAGGCCGACUAAAGACUUGAGAGUGGAUUUGGCAGAUGGAAACUGAACGAAGCCCGUCAUAUAUAUAUACGUAUAUGUGUGUGUACACUCUGUUGAGUGUUGGCGUUAGGAAGGGCAUCCAGCCGUAGAAAGCAUGCCAAACUAGAUAGUAGAGCUUGGCACAGCCUUCUGUCAAACUAACUCAUGCCAGUAAGAACAAUGGAUGUUAAAUGAUGAAGAUAUAUAUAUAUAAAAUGUAAUUUGAGAGUUAUGAAUUAAAAUAAAAUAAAGGAAUUUGGCAAAAAUUAAUUUUGUCUGUUUUAUCAAAAAUAUGUCUCUUUGAGUUUAUUUCAUAGAGAGUUGGGCCUGCUCGGUGAGAAGAAAAAUUUAACAGCUGCGGUAUUAUAACUGUACUAAGGUAGCAUAAUAAUUUGCCUUAUAAAUUAAGGCUAGAAUGAAUGGUUUGACGAAAAUUAGACUGUCUUUAUUUUAUUUGUUAGAAAUUAAUUUUUAUAGUGAAAAAGCUUGAAUAAUUUAAGGGGACGAGAAGACCCUAUUGAGCUUUAUUUAUUAAUAUUUAAAUAUAAAUAUAUAAUUUAUAUUAUGAAAAUUAUGUUGUAUAUAUAUAUAUAUUUAAUUGGAUUUAAUUUUGAUUGGGGUGAUCAAGGAAUAAAGAUAAAGUAACUUCCUUAAAAUUAAUGAUUGUUUUUAUAGAGUAAUAAACCAAGUUUUUUGCUUAUAAGAUAAGUUACCAUAGGGGUAACAGCGUAAUUUUUUUUGAGAGUUCAUAUUGAAAAAAGAGAUUGCGACCUCGAUGUUGGAUUAAAAAUUACCUUAAGGUGUAGAGGCUUUGUUAGGUGAAUCUGUUCGAUUUUUAAAAUUUUACAUGAUCUGAGUUCAAACCGGUGAAAGCCAGGUUGGUUUUUAUCUUUUAAAUUUUAUUUUAAAUUUAAUUUAGUACGAAAGGAUUGAUUAUAAUUAAUUAUAAAAUUAAAUAAAAUAAUUAUGUUUA
RNAcentral lists this ribosomal RNA (1427 nucleotides) under Octopus variabilis. RNAcentral describes it as "16S ribosomal RNA". The stretch from base 1174 to 1334 matches the Rfam family "Bacterial large subunit ribosomal RNA", at positions 2473 to 2632 of the family's 2925-position model. The record is from RNAcentral. Lineage: Eukaryota; Metazoa; Mollusca; Cephalopoda; Octopoda; Octopodidae.